Molecule: ribosomal RNA, 507 nt
Filed under: uncultured bacterium
Lineage: Bacteria
Description: partial 16S ribosomal RNA
Rfam family: Bacterial small subunit ribosomal RNA
Source: RNAcentral
GACGAACGCUGGCGGCGUGCCUAAUACAUGCAAGUCGAACGCAUUUUCUUUUAUCGUAGUUUGCUACACCGAAAGAAACUGAGUGGCGAACGGGUGAGUAACACGUUGGUAACCUGCCCAUCAUCGGGGGAUAACACUUGGAAACAGGUUCUAAUACCGCAUAAUUCCAUUUAUCUCAUGUAAUAUGGGUGCAAGGCGCAUUUGCGUCCCUGCUGGAUGUUCCCUCGGUGCAUUUGCUAGUUGGUGGGGUAACGGCCUACCAAGGCUGCGAUGCAUACCCGGUAUGAGAGGGGGAUCGGCGACACUGGGAACGGGACACGGCCCAGAGGCCUGAGGGAGGCAGCAGUAGGGAAUCAGGGGCAAUGGACGCAAGACGGAACGAGCAACGACGCGUGAGGGGAGAAGGAUUUCGGAUCGUAAAACUCUGUUGUUAGAGAAGAAGAAGGAUGAGAGUGGAAAGUUCAGCCCUUGACGGUAUCUAACCAGAAAGCCACGGCUAACUACGUG